UUAACAGCAAAGCCGUUUUGGCCUACUGGA
Molecule: non-coding RNA, 30 nt
Filed under: Rattus norvegicus (Norway rat)
Lineage: Eukaryota; Metazoa; Chordata; Mammalia; Rodentia; Muridae
Source: RNAcentral